Molecule: non-coding RNA, 5564 nt
Organism: Heterocephalus glaber (naked mole-rat)
Lineage: Eukaryota; Metazoa; Chordata; Mammalia; Rodentia; Bathyergidae
Source: RefSeq, a predicted model, not a curated record
UUUAAGGUGAGGAUUAUCUGACCUAACCUGUAACUUCAUUAACCUAACAAAGUUACCAUGCCAGGGUGAAUUUACAAUGUAUAUGGCCUGUCUUGUGUCUAUGACUUGUAAACAGGAACUGGAAUUGUAUUUACACAUCAAAGACCACUAGGGAUGAGAUAAUGGCUAAAAAGGAUAUAAAAAGGGAAAUGCUGAACAAAGGGGGCGUGAAUACUAACCAGAUGGGUUUCUGGAGUUCCUGCCCGCUCAUGAGAAGAAAUUUUAUUAUUUUAUCCGAAUCCUGUGUCUCUGUGUAUUUCUUUCCGAGAUUUCUGCAACAAUGCCAGUGGGAAACUACAAGAGGGUGAGCACUUGGAAUCUCUGCCUCCAUUUCACAUCUGUCUCAUUUCUCUGAGUCUUAGAGAACACCAACUUCCUCAUGGCUUUGGACAAACCCUUACCUGACCAGUGCUGAGACAAUGACAAACCAAACCAUUUACAUGGACCAGGUGUCCUGCACACUUCUGCCCCCAACAGUAUAAUCUGGGAGCUCACAAAAGCACCUCUGAGGACAGGGUUGAAGACACUGCUCCAUUUGUCUUCACCUAGAGGUUUCCUAUGUGGGUCUCCAGGCAUGAAGGAACAACAGAUAUAUGGAGAGACAGGAGUGGCUGGUGUGCCAGGGACUUGCAGUGGAUUGUUUGCUUCCAGGCUAGACCAGACACCCUCUGGUGGUAGAAACCAGGCCUGGAAACAGGGUGAGGCUCCUCCCCGCAUCUUCCAGCAUUAGCAUGGCUGGCUCCAUGAAGUCCUGUGAUAAAAAGUGAUCCUGCCACUUCCCCAGGUGCAGGAUGCUAGGAGAGACUGAACCAGAAGGAAGCCAAAAUGGGAACCAGACAAAAAUUGGAAAGGAACAAGUGCAGGGGCAUCAGGGAAAGAAAGGAGGGAGAAGCACAGGAUCCCCUGAUGGAAAAGAAGCCUUGAUCGGCUUCUUUGAUGAUGGUAAGGUAACAUAACCACAGGUUCCAGGAUUGGGGCAUGAACAUAUUUAGGAGGUCAGUACUCUGCCUGUCACAAGUUACCCUCAAGAAAAGUGGGAAAGGGAUAUCCCAAAGAAUUUGAAGAAUUCUAAUUCAAAAUCCUAUGGAUGUGACUCUACCCUACACUUCUGCCUGCCUAACAAAGGGAGAAUUGCCCUUCCACCCUCAUCCUGUUUGUCUUUAAGAACAGAAUGUUUUAGGUGCACUAGCCUAGAACAUGUGAAUUUAGGAUGGCUGCCAGAGUGGCCACCAGACAAACUCUAACUUUAUUAUAACCCCAUCUGCAUGUGAGAUGACACCACCCACAGUGCCACAACAAUUGACAGUCGCCUUGAAAAUAAUCCAAAAGGACCAUAAAAGAGGGAGGAAAAGGUGGUGCCCACAUUCCCAGACAAGCUCCCACCGAUUCCUGAGAAGCAUAAAACUAUUCCUGCCUGCUAUUAGUGUGAGACCAAAGUGAACCUAAGAAAUGAACUCCCCUCAUACCCCUCCCCUUAUAGAGUGCUGGAAUUCCCCAUGAGAUAGCCGCUUGCUCUGCUUCUGUAAACAUGCUUUAUCGCUCCCCGGGAACAGAUGGUGCCCGGUGCCUCCCUGUAACCACCAAACCCUGUAGCCACAGAAGGUCCUAUCUUGGUAAGAUAGGUGGGAUAAAAAAAACUGGGUCGUGAAAGAUAUUCACAGCUGGCUGAAGGACAUAGUGGCCUCUCCCCGAACUUCUUUGUUUGAGUUACCUAUAAUCCUGUACUGUUCCCUGCUAUGGGGCUUCACUUCUCCUAGAGAGUGGAGUCCACGCGCGUGAAUAAACUCCUUUCAGUUUUAACUCUGUCUUUGUCCCGGUGUUUGGUAUUUUCCUGGCUUGCUUGACAUAACAAUUUUGGAGGUCCCAGUGAGAUAACCAUCACUCGGUGACUUCUGUCUGGUGUUCGGCCCCUGUCUCAGGCCGCUGUGGCCCAAGAGAGGCCUGGGGAGACCACCUUGACAAUUUGAUCAGGGCCCUGGGGGCUCGGGUCUCAAGUGGAGGAUUCGGGUCACUCCAGCCAUACUGAGAGGAGUUUAUCUGAAACACCUCCGAAGGUCAGGUAAGAAUCUCAUGAUUCUCAGUCAGUGGAUCCUAUAGAGGGUGAAAGGAAAGUUGGACUCGCGCUAAUUCCCAUGCCCAGGACUUCACCGCAAUGGCAGGAAGUCCCCUGGUCAGUUUAUACUUUUGGUAAGAAAGGCUAUAGUCUGUCUAAAUAUCUGUAUAUCUGUUUUUUGUUGUCUGUCAGCUUGCUCUGUGUGCCUUUUGUUUUCAGUUUUGUUCUACAACGAGCCAUGGGAGCCAGACAGUCUACCCCCUCUACCCUCCUUAAAUGUGUUUUACAACAUUUCUCUCAAAUUUAUACCCCACAGAAAGCAGAUAAAUUCGGCAUCAAGUUCUCAAAAAAAAAAAAAACUCUGGACCCUGUGUCAAUUAGAGUGGCCAUCGUUCGGGGUGGGAUGGCCAAGUGUGGGAAGUUUUAACAUUCAGACUCCCUGACAGGUUUGGAAUCCGGUUACAGGAAAGGGAGGGCCCCGUCACCCUAAUCAGUUCCCUUACAUUGAUGUGUGGAUGGUCCUGGUGGAGGACCCCCCCACUUUCUUGCCUGUCCUAGAGCCGCCCAGUCAUCUAGGUUUAGUAAAAAUAAGGUCCGCCACCACUUCUUCCACUGGCAGAGUUCCCAAGAGAUGACAGAUGUGUUUGUUGCUAAGCCUCUUUUAAAAUGUAAAGUUUUCCAGGCUCCACAGGACGAGUAUGACUUCCAGCCUUGCCUGCCCCCAUAUCAGGCCCAGGAGGAAAAACCUAAAAAAGCCCCUGACUCCCCUUCUGAUUCUGUCCCCUCUAACCCCUCUGCCCCAACUGCACCAUCUGACCCCCUGUCUCCCCCCAUACCUGAUUGGGACAAGCUUAUGAGUCAGAAGGGACAACUAGUCAGGUAACAUCCAUAGUUCUUCCUUUAAAACAGGUCCAGUGAGGUGGUGGAUUUGUGUACGUUCCCUUUACUACCAGUGACCUUUGUAAUUGGAAAAAUCAAGUUCCCCUUUUUUCAGAAAAACCUCAGGCCCUGAUUCACCUCCUAGAAUCUGUUUUCCAUACUCAUCAGCCUACCUGGGAAGACUGCCAGCAGCUGCUCCACACCCUCUUCACUACGGAGGAGUGGGACCAGAUUUUUCGAGGCUGUUAAGGCGGCUCUGGGACAAAACCCAGACCUUGGUCCGGCACUCUGGCUUAUCUGCAGCGAGCAGAGGCCGAGGUGCCAACCCACCGACCAGACUGGGACCCCAACACUGAUGCAGUAUUCCAUCACGAGAGAGGCUAAAAAAAAAGAUUUGGACACACAUCAACGGACUCCUAGAUGCCGAAAUCUUAAAGCUGUGCCAAUCACCUUGGAAUACUCCACUCCUGCCUAUCCAAAAGCCUGGUACUUCUGACUACAGGCCUGUGCAAGACCUCUGAGAGGUAAACAAAAGAACUGAGACUGUACACCCCACUGUGCCCAAUCCCUGUACCCUGCUAAGCCUCCUGCCUCCACAAUGACAAGUCUACACUGUGCUGGACCUCAAAGAUGCCUUCUUCAGUCUGCUUCUGGCCGAGCCCUCCAGGUAAUCCAACAGGAGCUGCGGAAUCGAGUUCGGGAGUCCAGGCUGGCCCCUCAACCUGAUGUCACCUGCCAUAAAUUUCAGCCUAGAGAUCUGGUGCUGGUAAAGAGACAUUCAUCUAAGGCUCUGGAGCCACAUUGGGAGGGGCCUUUCCAGGUGAUUUUGACGACGCCAUCGGCCAUAAAGGUCACAGAAAAAACAGAGUGGAUGCAUCACUGCCACAUCAAAGUGGCUCCUGAGGACACCCUGGAGGACAAAUGGAGGGUCAUCAGUCAACCAGGCGACAAAAAGUUAAGACUGGGACGGGUUGAAAAUACACCCCCAUCUUGUUAAUAUUUUCUAAAACAUUGACAAUAUUACCCCAAAAACAAUUGGACCAUACUGGUAAUGUUUGGAUUCAGUUGGCACAAUCACUUAAUUUGUCUGAGUUCUGUUUAAAUGUAGAUUUAAAUUUACAGUAUGUAUUAGGGAGUUGUCUCAUCCCAGUGUGCACCCCCUGGGGUCUGAUACAACCUUAUACUCUGUUUAAAGACAUCCCCCCCCCAAAAUCUUAUGUAUAAAGAUAGUUACAAUUGGGGGACCCCCUCUUAUUCUAAAUCAAAAAAUGCUAUUAAGUUAUAUACACCUCAGAUGGUCAUGUUAAACAAUACACAAUGUGCUGUAUAUAAAAAUUGUACUACAAAAUGUCUAAGAUUAAAAAGGUUAAAAAAAAUGACCUGUUAUAAAAAACAAAAAAUCAUAUACAGUGAUGGUCAUGUGCCUUUACCAUCAGGAUGGUUUUAUACAUGUAAAAGAGUAACACUUAAUUAUAUCCCUGCCUACUUGUCUGAGACUCGAUGCUGCCUAUGUUGCUUGGCCAUAAUAUUGCCAGAUCAAACUGAUUCGAUAUUGCCAAAAAAAAUUAAACGUUGGUCACCCUAUACUGCACCAGAAUGUGAUGAUGAUGUAGGUCUCUUGGCAGAUGCUCGAGUGAUACCUAUGAUAAUAUCUGUGCUUGCUCAGCCCACCAUAAAAAUUCAUACAAAAAAGGCAGUAUGAAAAUUGACAUGCAAGGUGGUCAAAGGUCUAAACACUACCUCAUCUGCCUUGACAUUAAUUAAUCAGGAGUUACAAAAACACAGACGGGCUAUACUAGACAAUAGGACAACAAUAGAUUACUUGCUCUUGUUCCAUCAUCAAGGAUGCAAAAAAAUAAAUAAUAUGUGUUGUUUUAAUCUGACUGACAAUAGCCCAGGGAUUCAAAAAUAAAUAAAUAAAACAAUUUUAAAAAUUGAUGGAAAAAAUACAUAAUAAAAAAUUAGGAUGGGAUCUGUUUCAAUGGUUAACUCAAUGGUUGCCUAAUAUGCAAUGAUUAAAACAGCUUUUUCUUGUAGUCUUAAUUGUAAUCACAUGUUUGCUGUUAUCAUGUUGCUACAUACAAUGCCUACCUUACUGUAUGGAAUGCUCUCAGUGGUUCAUGGAUUAUUAAAUUUGACUAUUAUGUUGCUAAAUCAAAUGUAUAAACCCUUGCCUAAAAAAAUGACAGAGUUAAAUCAAAGGUUUGAUUCUGUACAAAAACCAGUGGGGAAUGUGAGACCAAAGUGAACCUAAGAAAUGAACUCCCCUCAUACCCCUCCCCUUAUAGAGUGCUGGAAUUCCCCAUGAGAUAGCCGCUUGCUCUGCUUCUGUAAACAUGCUGUAUCGCUCCCCGGGAACAGAUGGUGCCCGGUGCCUCCCUGUAACCACCGAACCCUGUAGCCACAGAAGGCCCUAUCUUGGUAAGAUGGGUGGGAUAAAAAAAGAACUGGGUUGUGAAAGAUAUUUCACAGCUGGCUGAAGGACAUAGUGGCCUCUCCCCGAACGUCUUUGUUUGCGUUACCUAUAAACCUGUACUGUCCCCUGCUUCGGGACUUCACUUCUCCUAGAGAGUGGAGUCCACGCACGUGAAUA